ACGAUGUCUGGGGCUGCUUGGCGUGGGACUCCUCUGGCGCUGGUGCGGUCGUCGCGCAUGCGCGGGGGUGGGCAAGGCAGUGGUCAGCGACCCGCAGUCCAUCUGACUCCUGCUUCCCGGGUGUUGCUCGUGUCCUGAGGGCUGCACUGCAGCUCCUACAAUACGACCACUGCUUCUGGGUCAGGCUGGCCGUUUCUCUCAUGAUUCCCUGCUCUCUGGACAGGUUGCUUUGCCCACCUGGCUCCGCCACCCUGCUCACCUUGGGAUGUGUAGAUAGGACAAGGAAGAUGGGGAGCCAAAGACCAAGCAUCUCAGAGAAGAGGAGGAAGAAGGCGAGAAGCACAGGGAACUUAGGCUGCGGAACUAUGUCCCGGAGGAUGAGGACCUGAAGAAGAGGAGGGUGCCCCAGGCCAAACCGGUUGCAGGUAAGCAAGCUGCCCCUCUCCACCUCUGCUUCCUGGCACUGUCAGCCGCCCUCCACCUCAGCAGGCUUUGCUCUCUGAGAAUAACCAGCAGUACCAGGACAGGAGUUGGGCCUGCAGGCAGGACC
This 550-nucleotide small RNA is filed under the name Pan troglodytes (chimpanzee). RNAcentral describes it as "retained intron". The record is from RNAcentral. Lineage: Eukaryota; Metazoa; Chordata; Mammalia; Primates; Hominidae.